UCUCCUGGAAAACGGGUGGUAAUGCCGGAUGCUCCAGUUGAUCGCAUGGUCUUCUGGGAAAGCCUUUGCGGCAUGGGAUGGGGUCGCGUCCUAUCAGCUUGAUGGCGGGGUAACGGCCCACCAUGGCUUCGACGGGUAGCCGGCCUGAGAGGGCGACCGGCCACAUUGGGACUGAGAUACGGCCCAGACUCCUACGGGAGGCAGCAGUGGGGAAUAUUGCACAAUGGGCGCAAGCCUGAUGCAGCGACGCCGCGUGAGGGAUGGAGGCCUUCGGGUUGUAAACCUCUUUUGUUAGGGAGCAAGGCAUUUUGUGUUGAGUGUACCUUUCGAAUAAGCACCGGCUAACUACGUGCCAGCAGCCGCGGUAAUACGUAGGGUGCAAGCGUUAUCCGGAAUUAUUGGGCGUAAAGGGCUCGUAGGCGGUUCGUCGCGUCCGGUGUGAAAGUCCAUCGCUUAACGGUGGAUCCGCGCCGGGUACGGGCGGGCUUGAGUGCGGUAGGGGAGACUGGAAUUCCCGGUGUAACGGUGGAAUGUGUAGAUAUC
This 543-nucleotide ribosomal RNA is filed under the name Bifidobacterium breve. RNAcentral's name for it is "bacterial SSU rRNA". It matches the Rfam family "Bacterial small subunit ribosomal RNA", at positions 146 to 698 of the family's 1533-position model. Lineage: Bacteria; Bacillati; Actinomycetota; Actinomycetes; Bifidobacteriales; Bifidobacteriaceae. The record is from RNAcentral.